Molecule: ribosomal RNA, 524 nt
Filed under: uncultured bacterium
Lineage: Bacteria
Description: partial 16S ribosomal RNA
Rfam family: Bacterial small subunit ribosomal RNA
Source: RNAcentral
GACGAACGCUGGCGGCGUGCUUAACACAUGCAAGUCGAACGGACAGACAGAGAGCUUGCUCUCUUGAAGUUAGUGGCGAACGGGUGAGUAACGCGUAAUCAACCUGCCCUUCAGAGGGGGAUAACAACGGGAAACCGUUGCUAAUACCGCGUACGAUUCAUGAACGGCAUCGUUUAUGAAUGAAAGGUGGCCUCUAUGUAUAAGCUAUCGCUGAAGGAGGGGAUUGCGUCUGAUUAGCUAGUUGGAGGGGUGACGGCCCACCAAGGCAAUGACCAGUGUCCGGUCUGAGAGGAUGAACGGCCACAUUGGGACUGAGACACGGCCCAAACUCCUACGGGAGGCAGCAGUGGGGAAUCUUCCGCAAUGGACGAAAGUCUGACGGAGCAACGCCGCGUGAGUGAUGAAGGUCUUCGGAUUGUAAAGCUCUGAUAAUCGGGACGAAAGAGUUCUGCGUGAAUAAUGCAGAAAAGUGACGGUACCGGAAUAGAAAGCCACGGCUAACUACGUGCCAGCCGCCGCAGUAA